Arvicanthis niloticus (Nile rat) is the source of this 129-nucleotide small nucleolar RNA. RefSeq annotates it as small nucleolar RNA SNORA17. The record is from RefSeq and is a predicted model, not a curated record. NCBI's taxonomy places the organism in Eukaryota, Metazoa, Chordata, Mammalia, Rodentia, Muridae.
ACUAUCCCUAGAAGCUUGCAACUGUGGCUGCUGUGUUCUAUGUGCGUCAGUAGGUGGCAGACGGGAGAGGUUUUAUCUAAACUCAGUGUUCUGACCUAUGAACAUCUGGAUGAUUAGUAGCCUCACGCU